UAUUUCCUAUCACGGUAUUAAAGUUCAAUAAAUGAUAAAACGGUAUUUCAUAAAUCAACAGAUGUGUGAAAUUGUUUAAGGUCGCUAAUGGAGCCCGAGUCUGGUGUGUUUGUUGGUUAGCUGUUGUUUGGCCUAUUUUACAGUUUUAAAUGUAGUAUGAGCUCUGAUGUUUUCAUUUCAUAGUUUCGUGUGCAUAUUUUACUAUUUUAUUGAUUAUGGGUUGAAUGACUGAGAACCCGAUGUUGUAUGUUGUCUUGUUUGGCAUAAAUUACUGGUUUGCUUGUUUGUGUGCGAAUUGAUGAUGCUGACUGGGGAAAAGGGGAAUGAAAGGUUAUGUAAAUUGAUAAUUGCAUAAUGUGGUCAGCC
Molecule: long non-coding RNA, 366 nt
Filed under: Carica papaya (papaya)
Lineage: Eukaryota; Viridiplantae; Streptophyta; Magnoliopsida; Brassicales; Caricaceae
Description: long non-coding RNA (CPAP_LNC014807)
Source: RNAcentral